Molecule: ribosomal RNA, 253 nt
Filed under: uncultured bacterium
Lineage: Bacteria
Description: partial 16S ribosomal RNA
Rfam family: Bacterial small subunit ribosomal RNA
Source: RNAcentral
UACGAAGGGGGCUAGCGUUGUUCGGAAUCACUGGGCGUAAAGCGCGUGUAGGCGUCCCACUAAGUCUGAUGUGAAAGCCCGGGGCUCACCCCCGGAAGUGCAUUGGAAACUGGUGGACUCGAGUCCCGGAGAGGAGAGUGGAAUUCCUGGUGUAGCGGUGAAAUGCGCAGAUAUCAGGAAGAACACCCGUGGCUAAGGCGGCUCUCUAGUACGGUACUGACGCUGAGACGCGAAAGCGUGGGGAGCGAACAGG